UCAGACGGCCGUGUGCGUCACGGGCAGCGCCACUAGAUGACAGCCUCGUCUAACAAAUCAGAAUCCGCGGUAAGGCAGUCAGGUCCACCAUGCAGCUUACAGUGGAGCACCUAUAGCUGCAUGCAUUCAUGGCUGACUGCUGUAAUGUUCAGAUUAUUCAACCAAAUUUGAUUUUUGCAUGUGCGUGUAAAUGCACACACCACAUGUUCGAGGGGCUGUCUGACAGUGUAGAUUCGCUUACUACAGGAAAGAGUCUCCUCUGCUGGCCACUUGUGUGUAUUGCACCGUGGCCUGCCUUCCGGACGUGAACAGGAUGAACCGUGUUGGUCUGACUGCUUCAGCUGCGUUUUGUCUUUUCUGCUCAGUUAACCAGCGACUUACAUUAAAUGUGCGGCCGAAACUGUGGUGAGAGCAGACAGCAGCACCUAAAGAGUCUGCGACUGACAUGAUGCAAUGGUCCUCUACGUCGUGUGCUAUUUCAGAGAGGCAGCAGACGACACUAAAAGCUGGCCACAAUUUUGAAGCUAACAGGGAUGCAGCUGGCCGCAGUGAAGACAUUCCAGGUUUGCCGAUGGAGACAGAUGGCGCGGGGCCCCUGGCCUCGGCCCCUGCAGAUUGAUUAUUGAUCAGGAGGACAGAGAUGGAUCGAGGGGUGGAGAGGACACCGAGCGGUGGGGAGAAGACCGUGGAGAAGAGUUGGAGGCGGAGAAGUGGGAGGAUUUCAAGGAAUUUAUGUUUUUAGAGUGGGACUAAAAGACAGCAAGAUGAGGAAAGGAGGAAGAGUUGGGGGGUUGAGGAUGUGGGUACGUCAAAGGUUUUUUAGCUCAGCCAUCACCUUGAGAGGGAGCUAUUGACUAAGCUCCAGAUUUAAAGAGGAAAUCUAAAGUGUUUGGAUUCUGUUCAGGAUCCCCCAGUUAUAGCUCAUUCUUUGUCACUGAAGUCCCUUGUUCACUUUAAACUGAUGUUAAUCACUGGUUUGGGUGCACAAGCUGCAUAUCUAAAAAGCAUAUUUUUUAUGAAUGAAGAAAAUUAACUUUAUGUUAAGGGCUGGCGGCAUGCGACUUGAAUCUAAGGGGUCACAGGAUUCAUUUUGCAGAUAAAGAAUCAUCUAAACUUUCAUUUCUGUUGGAUAAAUGAAAACUAUACAGUACUAAAGUCACACUCAAAAUAACAUUUUUACAUUCUACUUAUCACCAGUGAGUGGUGGCUAGUUGUGUGUGUGUGUGUGAGUGUGUGAGUGUGUGUGCAGCUGCCCUUGUGUUUGUGGGAUGAGUGUUUGUGAGCGUGCUGAUGUGUUGCGAAGGUGAGGCUGUCUUCCCUUGCCAGACAGAUGGCUAUCAGCAAGGCUCCAGUGAGUGAGUGCUGCUUUACAGUGGAGCCAAGAGGUUAAGCUGCAAUCUUCACUGUCUCUCUUUUAUUUUUCCCCUCACUCGCUGUUCCUUUCAUCUUCUGUGUGUGCGCGUGUGUGUGCUCAUUUACUCCCUUUGCUCUGCUACAGUAUGUGUGAAUAUCAGUGUGCGUGAUAAAGGAACAGAAGGAGCCUGUUGGCUGGUGUGCGUGAGUGUGCUGGAGGCAGAUACUGGAGGAAAUAAAUGACAUGCAGGCAGCUGCCCAGCUCAGGCUUUACACUGGGUGCCAUCACUGAUGGCAGCUCCUGACUGUGUGUCCUCCCAAAGUUUUUAUUUAACUUAAAGUGACUAUAUUCAUCUUUCGUCAAUUACCAAACAGAACACAAACAACAGAGAAAUGCGUCAUUUUUUUAAAAUAUACAAUCCCCAAUUUUAACUGUGCUCUUCUUCUUAUGUGUUUCCAACACAUCCAUAUGGACUCCAGCCCCCAGGCUGAGUGAGAGCACCGUCCCAGGAGGAAGCAUCUUCGUGAGCUUCAGGGAGUGGGAGGACCGCAUGGAUGCUGGAUGGAGUUCUGGGCGACUCAGUUCGCCCCUGGAGGCUUUAUUUAGCCGCUUACAGCCUGAAGGAAAAUAGGAGCUGCCAGCCAGCGAACUCACCUUGGACGCAGCACCCAGAGGAGAAUCCUACAGAAAGGCAUGACUGCUGAACGCCUGGUGUGUGUGUUUGUGUGUGUGUGUGUCAAUAAAUGCAUCUGAAUAUGUUCCUGUGUAGACAGUAUAUGUGUUGUUUCCAAAUGUUGCUGCUGUAAGCCCCUGUGCGUGUGCCUUUGACUGCUAACACAUUUCAGAGCUA
Long non-coding RNA from Scatophagus argus, 2204 nucleotides. RefSeq lists it as uncharacterized. NCBI's taxonomy places the organism in Eukaryota, Metazoa, Chordata, Actinopteri, Scatophagidae. The transcript is spliced from 4 exons. The record is from RefSeq and is a predicted model, not a curated record.